This 436-nucleotide ribosomal RNA is filed under the name uncultured bacterium. RNAcentral's name for it is "bacterial SSU rRNA". It matches the Rfam family "Bacterial small subunit ribosomal RNA", at positions 384 to 810 of the family's 1533-position model. The record is from RNAcentral.
UGACGAAGCGACGCCGCGUGCGGGAAGAAGGCCUUCGGGUUGUAAACCGCUGUCGGGAGUUAGGAAAUGUAAGGGCGUUAAUAGCGUCCUUGCUUGACUAAGGCUCCGGAGGAAGCCACGGCUAACUCUGUGCCAGCAGCCGCGGUAAUACAGAGGUGGCAAGCGUUGUUCGGAAUUAUUGGGCGUAAAGAGCACGUAGGCGGCCUUGCAAGUCAGUUGUGAAAGCCUUCCGCUUAACGGGAGAACGGCAUCUGAUACUACAGGGCUUGAGUACGGGAGGGGAGAGUGGAACUUCUGGUGGAGCGGUGAAAUGCGUAGAUAUCAGAAGGAACGCCGGCGGCGAAAGCGACUCUCUGGCCCGAAACUGACGCUGAGUGUGCGAAAGCUAGGGGAGCAAACGGGAUUAGAUACCCCGGUAGUCCUAGCCGUAAACGAU